RNAcentral lists this ribosomal RNA (253 nucleotides) under uncultured bacterium. Its description in RNAcentral is "partial 16S ribosomal RNA". It matches the Rfam family "Bacterial small subunit ribosomal RNA", at positions 524 to 776 of the family's 1533-position model. The record is from RNAcentral.
UCCGUAGGUGGCAAGCGUUGUCCGGAUUUAUUGGGUUUCAAGGGUGCGUAGGCGGUCAUAUAAGUCAGCGGUGAAAUCCGGCAGCUCAACUGUCGAUGUGCCAUUGAUACUGUAUGACUUGAGUACUGAUGAGGUAGGCGGAAUUGACGGUGUAGCGGUGAAAUGCUUAGAUAUCGUCAAGAACACCGAUAGCGAAGGCAGCUUACUAAGCAGUAACUGACGCUGAGGCACGAAAGUGAGGGGAGCAAACAGG